GUCGACGGCAGGACUCCCGGG
Molecule: microRNA, 21 nt
Filed under: Cordylochernes scorpioides
Lineage: Eukaryota; Metazoa; Arthropoda; Arachnida; Pseudoscorpiones; Chernetidae
Source: RNAcentral